CCUGGCGGCACUAGCGAGGUGGUCCCACCUGACCCCAUGCCGAACUCAGAAGUGAAACGCCGUAGCGCCGAUGGUAGUGUGGGGUCUCCCCAUGUGAGAGUAGGGAACUGCCAGGC
This 116-nucleotide ribosomal RNA is filed under the name Klebsiella pneumoniae. Lineage: Bacteria; Pseudomonadati; Pseudomonadota; Gammaproteobacteria; Enterobacterales; Enterobacteriaceae. RNAcentral also lists the same sequence under 1 other name. The record is from RNAcentral.